AGGUAGUGACAAGAAAUAACAAUACAAGGCAGUUAAAAUGCUUUGUAAUUGGAAUGAUAGAAAUUUAAACCCUUUUUAAAGUAUCAAUUGGAGGGCAAGUCUGGUGCCAGCAGCCGCGGUAAUUCCAGCUCCAAUAGCGUAUAUUAAAAUUGUUGCAGUUAAAAAGCUCGUAGUUGAAUUUCUGUUAAAAAUAACCGGUCUGCUUUUAAUAAAAGUGGUAUCUUGGUGUGUUUUUAGCAAUAAUGUCCUUUGAAGUGUUUUUUACUUUAUUGUAAUAAAUAAUAUUCAGGAUUUUUACUUUGAGAAAAUUAGAGUGUUUCUAGCAGGCUAACGCUUUGAAUACUGCAGCAUGGAAUAAUAAGAUAGGAUUUUAGUUCUACAUUAUUGGUUUUAAGAACUAAAUUAAUGAUUGAUAGGGACAGUUGGGGGCAUUUGUAUUUAACUGUCAGAGGUGAAAUUCUUAGAUUUGUUAAAGACAAACUACUGCGAAAGCAUUUGCCAAAGAUGUUUUCAUUAAUCAAGAACGAAAGUUAGGGGAUCGAAGACGAUCAGAUACCGUCGUAGUCUUAACUAUAAACUAUGCCGACUAGAGAU
This 594-nucleotide ribosomal RNA is filed under the name Hepatozoon felis. Its description in RNAcentral is "bacterial SSU rRNA". It matches the Rfam family "Eukaryotic small subunit ribosomal RNA", at positions 462 to 1053 of the family's 1831-position model. Lineage: Eukaryota; Apicomplexa; Hepatozoidae. The record is from RNAcentral.